AUUUCAGUGUUACUUUACUAAUCAUACCUACAGCAUACUACGUCAGAUGUUGUUUUUGAUUCAAAUUAGACUUUGGAUCUCUUACUCCUAACAAUAGUAUAUCAACACAGCACAGACGCCAUUUUUUCAGACGUGGAAGAAUUUUCGCGUCAUAUACAAUAUUACAAUUAAAUAAAAUUCACGUUUGUUCGGGACAAAAUGAAAACGUCUAUCUCGACCAUCAGUGUUUUAUUUCUAUGCCUCAUCUGUUCGUUCGCGGAGGUAAGCUGUAAAAAAAACAAAAAGAACCAAUCUUAUCAAGAAAUCUCCGAUGUCUUUAAUUCAACGUUACACAAAAUAGAAGAUGCAUUUGACCCCUACGUCAGUCAUGGGGAUCCGUACGCUAAUAAACCGACGUUUUGCAAUGCUCACUCGUGUGGUGGUUGUUCAGAUAAACCGUUCGAAAACAUUAACAAUUGCAUAAGAUGGUGCAGAGCACCGUGCCUGUGCAUAAGUCCCGCGGGCGGAAGAGGCGAUGACAUAAUGUGUGCAAAGUCCAGACACAGAAGGACCAACAUUAUGUGGUGAAAAUUAUUCGAAAAGGGAGAUGUGAAAUUCCGACGCUCAAAAAUUCGGAUACAGUAGUACAUGCAUGUAGACAGUAUAUUGACGGAUGAUUAAACAAUUAAUUUAAUCUAUAGGCAAUAUGAGAAGAGUUAGGUACACAAUGUUCAAUAUUUUAAAUUGUAUCAAUUCUUAAUACAAAAAAACACAUUAUACAAUUAAUAAACGAUUUAUAAAUUAACUGUUUAUCAAAUUAACUAUCUCAGCCAUAAUAUUAGCAUCAAUUUAAAAUAGUAUUGCAAACUCCAAAGAUAAGCAUUAACUCGUUUGAAUCCCACAUAUGUACCUACAUAAGCAAAAUUAAUUAUCUACAAUAAACAAAAUUCCUAAAUAGAACACGUUAAUGAUAACUGUAUUUUAAUACAUAAUUAUAAUUAUUAUGCUAUUUAAUAUCGUAUUGAAAGCUCUAAUAAAAAUACAAUAUUAAUUAUGAUUUAUACUCUAGAAGAUCUAUAGAAUACAAAAUUACCUAGACUUAUUAAGUGUAAUAAGUGUACCCAGGCGCGUACACAAAAAAAAUUUUUUUGGGGGGGUUUGCUUGUACAUUUUCAUACUUAUAUAAUCUAACUUAACCUAUAACCUAACAAGGAGUUUACACAAUUUCAAUUAUAGUACCAUUUAUUUCUUAUAAAAAACGUCAUACUUAAAAAAAAAAUUUAAUAAUUGUUAAAAACAUGUAUUUUUAUAAUAUAAAAUCUAAUUUUCGAGGUAGUCUUGCAAAUCUGUUAAUGACUUCGUCAAUAUCAAUGUUAUCGUUUCUAUAAAUAUUCAUGAGCGCUAAUCCUGUCAGCCGGUCUUGUCCAAUAUUAUUUCUCAAAUAGGUUUUCAGUCUCCGCAAUGUUGAAAAUGAACGCUCUGCAGUAACAGUCGUUACAGGCAAAG
This is a long non-coding RNA of Myzus persicae (green peach aphid), 1485 nucleotides long. RefSeq lists it as uncharacterized. Lineage: Eukaryota; Metazoa; Arthropoda; Insecta; Hemiptera; Aphididae. The transcript has 2 exons. The record is from RefSeq and is a predicted model, not a curated record.